Ipomoea nil (Japanese morning glory) is the source of this 871-nucleotide RNA transcript. It is a transcript of the gene named glycine-rich RNA-binding protein 2, mitochondrial-like, with no coding region annotated. The record is from RefSeq and is a predicted model, not a curated record. Lineage: Eukaryota; Viridiplantae; Streptophyta; Magnoliopsida; Solanales; Convolvulaceae. The transcript is spliced from 4 exons.
CACUCUAUCGAUUCAAGUCUAGGGUUUAGAAUGGCUCUGUUUUGCUCACCCUGUACAUCCCCCAUUUGCUCAUCCCAAGUCCGUAAACCAUUGGCAAUCGGAUCAUUAUUUGUGUCAAAAUCCCUAAACCAAUAUACAUCCAACCCCAAAUUUUCAAGAAAUUCAUUUUUCAGCCCACCAGUUACCAAAUCAUCUUUACAAAAUCCCCACCUUUGCUUGAGCUCUACCUCCUCAUUGGACCCAGAAGAUAAUGCUUCAUCAAACACAAUAAUCUUCAUAAAAGACAUCAUUUGCUGAACGUGAAAGCUUAUAAACACAGGACUGCCAAAAUCUACAUCUGAGGAAAGCUUGAAGGUUGCAUUUUCCAAAUUCGGGGAUGUACUCCGAGUUAAAAUUUUAAUUGAUAAGAAGACCAAACAACCUUUGUCUUUUGCUAAUGUCUGGUUUUCUAAUGAGGAGUCUGCUGUAUCAGCUGCAGAUGAGAUGGAUGGGAAGUUUUUCAAUGGCAGGUUUAUACGUGUGAACGUUGCAAAGCCAGGAUCAUGCAAAAGUCGUGCUAAGACACCACCUUACAAGUUCUAGUCAAACAAGAAUCCUCCUCGAUCUCUAUUGUAAUCUUUGGGAUCUGUGGAGUUUCGGCAUUUGUAGAUCAUGGGUAUAGCGAACCUGUAACUUUCAGACUAGUAAGCGCGAUAUCUUGUAUGAAGACUUACUGGUUUGAAAAGAUUUUUCCUUAUGCCAAAUGGCAAGCUUUUAGAAGAACUGUGUUAGUUUCUUCAUGGUGAAAGAUUAGUGGCAUUCUGUAUGUUGAAAUUAUGGAUGAUUUGAUCCUUUAUUUAAUGGUCUUGUGGGAUGGAAGUUUCACCUUCAA